This 18-nucleotide small nuclear RNA is filed under the name Arabidopsis thaliana (thale cress). RNAcentral describes it as "snRNA_07017". Lineage: Eukaryota; Viridiplantae; Streptophyta; Magnoliopsida; Brassicales; Brassicaceae. The record is from RNAcentral.
GCAGGGAUCUGAUUUCUC